UAGGGAAUCUUCCGCAAUGGGCGAAAGCUUGACGGAGCAACGCCGCGUGAGUGAUGAAGGUCUUCGGAUCGUAAAACUCUGUUAUUAGGGAAGAACAAAUGUGUAAGUAAUUAUGCACGUCUUGACGGUACCUAAUCAGAAAGCCACGGCUAACUACGUGCCAGCAGCCGCGGUAAUACGUAGGUGGCAAGCGUUAUCCGGAAUUAUUGGGCGUAAAGCGCGCGUAGGCGGUUUUUUAAGUCUGAUGUGAAAGCCCACGGCUCAACCGUGGAGGGUCAUUGGAAACUGGAAAACUUGAGUGCAGAAGAGGAAAGUGGAAUUCCAUGUGUAGCGGUGAAAUGCGCAGAGAUAUGGAGGAACACCAGUGGCGAAGGCGACUUUCUGGUCUGUAACUGACGCUGAUGUGCGAAAGCGUGGGGAUCAAACAGG
This 429-nucleotide ribosomal RNA is filed under the name Actinomycetes bacterium. Its description in RNAcentral is "Actinobacteria bacterium partial 16S ribosomal RNA". It matches the Rfam family "Bacterial small subunit ribosomal RNA", at positions 355 to 776 of the family's 1533-position model. The record is from RNAcentral. Lineage: Bacteria; Bacillati; Actinomycetota; Actinomycetes.